ACUGCGAAUGGCUCAUUAAAUCAGUUAUCGUUUAUUUGAUAGUACCUUACUACAUGGAUAACCGUGGUAAUUCUAGAGCUAAUACAUGCUGAAAAUCCCGACUUCGGAAGGGAUGUAUUUAUUAGAUUAAAAACCAAUGCCCUUCGGGGCUCCUUGGUGAUUCAUAAUAACUUCUCGAAUCGCACGGCCUUGCGCCGGCGAUGGUUCAUUCAAAUUUCUGCCCUAUCAACUUUCGACGGCUGGGUCUUGGCCAGCCAUGGUGACAACGGGUAACGGAGGGUUAGGGCUCGACCCCGGAGAAGGAGCCUGAGAAACGGCUACUACAUCCAAGGAAGGCAGCAGGCGCGCAAAUUACCCAAUCCCGACUCGGGGAGGUAGUGACAAUAAAUACUGAUACAGGGCUCUUUUGGGUCUUGUAAUUGGAAUGAGUACAAUUUAAAUCCCUUAACGAGGAACAAUUGGAGGGCAAGUCUGGUGCCM
RNAcentral lists this ribosomal RNA (480 nucleotides) under fungal sp. HP-F1/3. RNAcentral describes it as "SSU rRNA". It matches the Rfam family "Eukaryotic small subunit ribosomal RNA", at positions 86 to 571 of the family's 1831-position model. The record is from RNAcentral. Lineage: Eukaryota; Fungi.